GAUGAACGCUAGCGGCAGGCCUAAUACAUGCAAGUCGAACGGGAUCCAGAUCAAAGCUUGCUUUGGUUUGGUGAGAGUGGCGUACGGGUGCGUAACGCGUGAGCAACCUACCCUUGUCAGGGGGAUAGCCCGGCGAAAGUCGGAUUAAUACCGCAUGACAUCAUUGAGGGGCAUCUUUCGAUGAUCAAAGAUUUAUCGGACAAGGAUGGGCUCGCGUGACAUUAGCUAGUUGGUAAGGUAACGGCUUACCAAGGCUACGAUGUCUAGGGGCUCUGAGAGGAGAAUCCCCCACACUGGUACUGAGACACGGACCAGACUCCUACGGGAGGCAGCAGUAAGGAAUAUUGGUCAAUGGACGGAAGUCUGAACCAGCCAUGCCGCGUGCAGGAAGACGGCCCUAUGGGUUGUAAACUGCUUUUAUACGGGAACAAACGUCGGUACGUGUACCGGUCUGAGUGUACCGUAAGAAUAAGGAUCGGCUAACUCCGUG
Molecule: ribosomal RNA, 490 nt
Filed under: uncultured bacterium
Lineage: Bacteria
Description: partial 16S ribosomal RNA
Rfam family: Bacterial small subunit ribosomal RNA
Source: RNAcentral